GUCGUAACAAGGUUUCCGUAGGUGAACCUGCGGAAGGAUCAUUACCACACCAAAAAAAUAUCCACGUGAAUGUACUCUUGUAUGAGGUUUGUGUUGCUCUUCGGAGUGACUAGCCGAAGGUUUCGUAAGAAACCGAUGUAUUUUUUAAUCCCUUUUAAAACAAUAACUGAACAAUAAUUGCAAACAGAAAUGUGUGCAUACAAAUUGAAAUACAACUUUCAACAGUGGAUGUCUAGGCUC
This 240-nucleotide unclassified non-coding RNA is filed under the name fungal sp. Its description in RNAcentral is "partial internal transcribed spacer region". The stretch from base 1 to 44 matches the Rfam family "Eukaryotic small subunit ribosomal RNA", at positions 1788 to 1831 of the family's 1831-position model. Lineage: Eukaryota; Fungi. The record is from RNAcentral.